GACGAACGCUGGCGGCGUGCUUAACACAUGCAAGUCGAACGGAAAGGCCCUGCUUUUGUGGGGUGCUCGAGUGGCGAACGGGUGAGUAACACGUGAGUAACCUGCCCUUUACUUUGGGAUAACUUCAGGAAACUGGGGCUAAUACCGGAUAGGAGCUCCUGCUGCAUGGUGGGGGUUGGAAAUCUUCGGCGGUUGGGUAUGGACUCGUGGCUUAGCAGCCUGAUGGUGGGGUAGUGGCUUACCAAGGAUUUGACGGGUAGCCGGGAUAGGGGGGUGACAUGCCACAUAGGGACUGAGUGACGGCCCAGAGUCGUAGGGUAGGCAGCGGUGGGGGUUUAUGCAGGAUGGGCGGAAUCCUUAUGCAGAAACGCCGGUUGCGGGGAGAAGGCGUUCGGGUUUUAAUCCACUUUCACCUGUGAGUAAGCAUGUGUGACGUUAAUGGGUAAAGGAGCACCGGCUAACUACGUG
Molecule: ribosomal RNA, 468 nt
Filed under: uncultured bacterium
Lineage: Bacteria
Description: partial 16S ribosomal RNA
Rfam family: Bacterial small subunit ribosomal RNA
Source: RNAcentral